GUGGCUACAGCCUGAACCCCUGUACCCAAGCCAGGUAUCCCCUCAAAUGUAUCUUUAUUUUGGCGAUAACCCCUUCAGGUGCAAGGCCAGGUUAGGAAGGAAAUGGUUUCCCAAAAGGAUGAAUUGAGGAGGAAAACAGACUUAAUAUUUCAGGACCAUGGAAAUAUUAAGGGGUGGGGGUGGGGGUGCAGCUACUUUCCUCAUUUUUUUUUUUUUUUUGGUACCAGGAAUGAAACUCACAACCUCACACUUACCAGAAGGCGCUGUGCCGCUGAGAUAUUCCUUUAUUCCUUCAGAAGGGCAGCCAGCAGCAGCUCCUCAGCCCUUAGGAGAGUGGUUCUGCAGAGUGAGGAAGGCCAAGAGAGCACCCUGAACAGUGAGAGGAACCGUGAAGUUGUAUUUAAGUUGAGAAGGACAGAGCUGACUGUGCCGCUGUAUUUACUGAAGAUUUAAUGAGCAGCUUGAUGAGCAGUGGACAGUCUGGAAGAAGAUACAGUUUUAAAAGAAUGAAGGCACAGCUUGAUCCUGUAUUUCACAUGAAAAUAGCUACUGAAGAUCGGCCUACUUCACCUCUUGUUAAAGCAGCCCCUGCAGGACAACAUUUGCGGCCCUAGUUCACGACGGCACGCCUGAAGUUCACAGUGUCCCAUCCAGAUCUUUAAUCGUAGUUGAUGGGUUAGGUUUUCGUUAAUUCUGAUUUGGAUGAUCCACCAACUGGUCUGUGUUUGUGAAACUGGGCAUAUUCAUCAUCUUAAAAAAUAAUGUAUAGUUCCAACUGUACCAUGGAAUCAUUACCUACAGAAAACACCACAAACACCAUUGUUACCAUCCUCUAGACCUCCAGCAAUAACCUCUCUCUAGAGGAUCUGGAGGACAGUAACAAGGCAAAC
Molecule: long non-coding RNA, 890 nt
Filed under: Chinchilla lanigera (long-tailed chinchilla)
Lineage: Eukaryota; Metazoa; Chordata; Mammalia; Rodentia; Chinchillidae
Description: lncRNA (ENSCLAG00000026782.1)
Source: RNAcentral